GACGAACGCUGGCGGCGUGCUUAACACAUGCAAGUCGAACGGAAAGGCCCUGCUUUUGUGGGGUGCUCGAGUGGCGAACGGGUGAGUAACACGUGAGUAACCUGCCCUUGACUUUGGGAUAACUUCAGGAAACUGGGGCUAAUACCGGAUAGGAGCUCCUGCUGCAUGGUGGGGGUUGGAAAGUUUCGGCGGUUGGGGAUGGACUCGCGGCUUAUCAGCUUGUUGGUGGGGUAGUGGCUUACCAAGGCUUUGACGGGUAGCCGGCCUGAGAGGGUGACCGGCGACAUUGGGACUGAGAGACGGCCCAGACUCGUACGGGAGGCAGCAGUGGGGAAUAUUGCACAAUGGGCGGAAGCCUGAUGCAGCAACGCCGCGUGCGGGAUGACGGCCUUCGGGUUGUAAACCGCUUUCGCCUGUGACGAAGCGUGCGUGACGGUAAUGGGUAAAGAAGCACCGGCUAACUACGUG
This 468-nucleotide ribosomal RNA is filed under the name uncultured bacterium. RNAcentral describes it as "partial 16S ribosomal RNA". It matches the Rfam family "Bacterial small subunit ribosomal RNA", at positions 28 to 507 of the family's 1533-position model. The record is from RNAcentral.